GAUGAAGAACGCAGCGAAAUGCGAUAAGUAAUGCGAAUUGCAGAAUUCCAGUGAGUCAUCGAAUCUUUGAACGCACAUUGCGCCCUUUGGUAUUCCGAAGGGCAUGCCUGUUCGAGCGUCAUUAUCACCCCUCAAGCCCCCGGCUUGGUGUUGGAAGGUUUGGUGGAGGCCCCCUCGGGGGCUCCUGCCCCUCCCAAAGACAAUGACGGCGGCCUCGUUGGACCCCCGGUACACUGAGUUCUUCACGGGACACGUAUCGGACACAUGGGUUUACGGGACACGGUCUGCCUCCCCUCAGGGAGAAUCUUUCUAAGGUUGACCUCGGAUCAGGUAGGGAUACCCGCUGAACUUAAGCAUAUCAAUAGCGGAGGA
RNAcentral lists this unclassified non-coding RNA (372 nucleotides) under soil metagenome. Its description in RNAcentral is "partial contains 5.8S ribosomal RNA, internal transcribed spacer 2, and large subunit ribosomal RNA". The stretch from base 1 to 121 matches the Rfam family "5.8S ribosomal RNA", at positions 35 to 154 of the family's 154-position model. The record is from RNAcentral.